GUGGGCCUGGCUUUUGCCAGGUGCUCCUGUGGGCUCCGGGUGACGUCCAAAGGGUGUGGCCCGACUGGCCCUCCAAGCUAUGGAGUAUCCAUAGUAACGCGUCAGCCGCCGACCUCGGGCCAUUUUCCCAAGGCUCCAGGAUCUCUAGAUGUCCCGUCGUCUCAAGGGCGUGUAGAACGCGGGUUUUGGGGGAGGAAUGAACAAAAAUCGACUGGGAGUUUUUUCAAAACACGUACAUAUGCCCUGCCACCCACCCCGCUCUCCUAGGUGCGUCAGAACUGCUGGGACAUCUGUCACGUGAAGGGUCACGUGUACUUGGGGAAGAACUCCCCCGGUGAUUCUGACACUCUUGCCCUACGCCUCAGCCAUUGAGAACUAUUGGUAUGGAGGGCCUGUAAUUUAUCAAGGCGCGGCCUCAGAUCUGUCUGCCUCGCAGAUACCUUCCUCACCCGGGUCAGAAUGACUUGCCUCAGGCUCCUGCCAAAGAGUUUGCACCACUCGUUUCUUCCCUAUUUUGUAGAGAUGGUGUUUCCCUAAGUUGCUCAGGCUG
RNAcentral lists this long non-coding RNA (550 nucleotides) under Homo sapiens (human). Its description in RNAcentral is "HSALNT0344121". Lineage: Eukaryota; Metazoa; Chordata; Mammalia; Primates; Hominidae. The record is from RNAcentral.